AAACGCCCAGCUUGGCCAACGUGAGGCGAGUAACGAGAACGAGACGUGGCUGCAAAAACUCCAGGUCCAGCAGAACCCAUUGGACCAACCAUGUGACAAAAUUCAUGGAGAUUGUAGAGAAUGUGGAGCACAGAGAGAUGGGACAGCAGGAGUACUAGUAUCAGGACAAACUGGAGCAGAAGGCAUUGCAGGACUCGAUGGCCCAUAAGGUACACGUGGUGCGCAUGGAAAACUCGGACCCCUCAGUCUACCAGAAAAAGUCAUGCAUCUGCUGCAUAUUUUGUUCCUGUACGAUCAACAUACAAGUACGGCCCUGCAACCUAUUAAAGAGAUACAGACAGAACAGAUCAAAAAGCUAACUUGGUGAAUAUGUGCACAUGAAAAUGGUGUCUGGGUAUGCCAGGCCUGUGCUCGAGUUUGUGUUGCAGUCGGUUUGUGAUAAUAGUGCAAAUACUGAUUAGAUAGAUUAGAGUAUAACAAUUAUUGCUGUACUUGUAUUGUGAUAUAUACCAAUGACUGACAAGGAUGUAAUGCAGUAA
Corticium candelabrum is the source of this 539-nucleotide long non-coding RNA. RefSeq lists it as uncharacterized. The transcript has 2 exons. The record is from RefSeq and is a predicted model, not a curated record. NCBI's taxonomy places the organism in Eukaryota, Metazoa, Porifera, Homoscleromorpha, Homosclerophorida, Plakinidae.